GAUGAACGCUGGCGGCGUGCCUAAUACAUGCAAGUCGAGCGAACGGACGAGAAGCUUGCUGCUCUGAUGUUAGCGGCGGACGUGUGUGUAACACGUGUAUAACCUACCUAUAUGACUGGGAUAACCGCGGGAAACCGGAGCUUAUCCCGUAGAAUAUUUUGAACCGCAUGGUUCAAAAGUGAAAGACGGUCUUGCUGGCACUUAUAGAUGGAUCCGCGCUGCAUUAGCUAGUUGGUAAGGUAACGGCUUACCAAGGCAACGAUGCAUAGCCGACCUGAGAGGGUGAUCGGCCACACUGGAACGGAGACACGGUCCAGACUCCUGCGGGAGGCAGCAGUAGGGAAUCUUCCGGAAUGGGCGAAAGCAUGACGGAGCAAGGACGCGUGAGUGAUGAAGGUCUUGGGAUCGUAAAACUCUGUUAUUAGGGAAGAACAUAUGUGUAAGUAACUGUGCACAUCUUGACGGUACCUAAUCAGAAAGCAACGGCUAGCUACGUG
This 497-nucleotide ribosomal RNA is filed under the name uncultured bacterium. RNAcentral describes it as "partial 16S ribosomal RNA". It matches the Rfam family "Bacterial small subunit ribosomal RNA", at positions 28 to 507 of the family's 1533-position model. The record is from RNAcentral.